UACGGAGGGUGCAAGCGUUAUCCGGAAUCAUUGGGUUUAAAGGGUCCGCAGGCGGAUUUAUAAGUCAGUGGUGAAAGCCCGUCGCUCAACGACGGAACUGCCAUUGAUACUGUAAGUCUUGAAUUCGAUCGAAGUGGGCGGAAUAUGACAUGUAGCGGUGAAAUGCUUAGAUAUGUCAUAGAACACCGAUAGCGAAGGCAGCUCACUAGGUCUGGAUUGACGCUCAGGGACGAAAGCGUGGGGAGCAAACAGGAUUAGAUACCCUGGUAGUCCACGCCGUAAACUAUCAAUACUCGUUUUCGGGGACUUCGGUCUUCGGAGACUAAGCGAAAGUGAUAAGUAUUGCACCUGGGGAGUACGAUCGCAAGGUUGAA
This 374-nucleotide ribosomal RNA is filed under the name uncultured bacterium. RNAcentral describes it as "bacterial SSU rRNA". It matches the Rfam family "Bacterial small subunit ribosomal RNA", at positions 524 to 898 of the family's 1533-position model. The record is from RNAcentral.